Molecule: non-coding RNA, 19 nt
Filed under: Rattus norvegicus (Norway rat)
Lineage: Eukaryota; Metazoa; Chordata; Mammalia; Rodentia; Muridae
Source: RNAcentral
CAAAGCAGUGGCCUCUUUC